RNAcentral lists this ribosomal RNA (369 nucleotides) under uncultured bacterium. RNAcentral describes it as "bacterial SSU rRNA". It matches the Rfam family "Bacterial small subunit ribosomal RNA", at positions 527 to 896 of the family's 1533-position model. The record is from RNAcentral.
GUAGGGUGCGAGCGUUAAUCGGAAUUACUGGGCGUAAAGCGUGCGCAGGCGGUUCGCUGUGUCCGAUGUGAAAGCCCCGGGCUCAACCUGGGAAUGGCAUUGGAAACUGGCGGGCUCGAGUGUGGCAGAGGGGGGUGGAAUUCCGCGUGUAGCAGUGAAAUGCGUAGAGAUGCGGAGGAACACCGAUGGCGAAGGCAGCCCCCUGGGCUAACACUGACGCUCAGGCACGAAAGCGUGGGGAGCAAACAGGAUUAGAUACCCUGGUAGUCCACGCCCUAAACUAUGUCGACUAGGUGUUGGGGAAGCGAUUCCUUGGUACCGAAGCUAACGCGUGAAGUCGACCGCCUGGGGAGUACGGCCGCAAGGUUA